RNAcentral lists this ribosomal RNA (433 nucleotides) under uncultured bacterium. Its description in RNAcentral is "bacterial SSU rRNA". It matches the Rfam family "Bacterial small subunit ribosomal RNA", at positions 29 to 507 of the family's 1533-position model. The record is from RNAcentral.
AACGAACGCUGGCGGCAGGCCUAACACAUGCAAGUCGAACGCCCUAGCAAUAGGGAGUGGCAGACGGGUGAGUAACACGUGGGAACCUUCCCUAUAGUACGGAAUAUACCAGGGAAACUUGGAGCAAUACCGUAUACGCCCGAAAGGGGAAAGAUUUAUCGCUAUAGGAUGGGCCCGCGUAGGAUUAGCUAGUUGGUGAGGUAAUGGCUCACCAAGGCGACGAUCCUUAGCUGGUUUGAGAGAACGACCAGCCACACUGGGACUGAGACACGGCCCAGACUCCUACGGGAGGCAGCAGUGGGGAAUAUUGGACAAUGGGCGCAAGCCUGAUCCAGCCAUGCCGCGUGAGUGAUGAAGGCCUUAGGGUUGUAAAGCUCUUUUGUCGGGGACGAUAAUGACGGUACCCGAAGAAUAAGUCCCGGCUAACUUCGUG